CGCAUUUUUUCUUAUUGACGUAUUGGUGUAUUAUACAGCAGUGGAAGAGGUGCGUUAAAUUUCCCCGGAAAAUCUUCUGUAAGAGGACGACCUUUCAGCUUCAAUGAUAUUGCUUCACCAGAUCUGAAAUAUGAUCUAUUAACAGUCAGAGAAUCUGGUUCUUCGCGGACCAACAGAAGUUUGACAGACGCAAAAAUUACAUUCAUGGGUGCUCUAAACAAUGCCGUCAGUGGAAGAAACUUGAAAGAAAUCUCCCUGCUGCAUUCUGUACACAUGAAAGAGAGGGCCUGAAAGGGGGGAGUGUUUGGUACCUGGUACUGGAGUGGCUGUGUAUUGCCACAUGCUUCGGCUCUGCUCAGCACGACUCCAGCUUGCUGUUUGUCAGGCAGUGCAAGGAAAACAAUACACUGGAAUGGAACACAGUGGUUGCCUUGGCUUGUCAUAUUUAAAACAUGACCAAUUGGAAUAUGAACUUAAGCUACGAUGGCUGCCAAUCAAGGGUGGCAUCGCGGAUAUGGCAGCCAUGUUAUGUGCAGCAUUGAAUGGUCCUGUUAAUUAAU
Schistocerca americana (American grasshopper) is the source of this 560-nucleotide long non-coding RNA. RefSeq lists it as uncharacterized. The transcript has 3 exons. The record is from RefSeq and is a predicted model, not a curated record. NCBI's taxonomy places the organism in Eukaryota, Metazoa, Arthropoda, Insecta, Orthoptera, Acrididae.